This 441-nucleotide ribosomal RNA is filed under the name uncultured bacterium. RNAcentral describes it as "partial 16S ribosomal RNA". It matches the Rfam family "Bacterial small subunit ribosomal RNA", at positions 339 to 795 of the family's 1533-position model. The record is from RNAcentral.
CUACGGGGUGCUCCAGUCACGAAUCUUCCUCAAUGGCCGAAAGGCUGAAGGAGCGACGCCGCGUGCAUGAAGACGCCCCUCGGGGUGUAAAGUGCUUUUAUUAGGGAAGAAACAAUGACGGUACCUAAUGAAUAAGGGGCUGCUAACCUCGUGCCAGCAGCAGCGGUAAUACGAGGGCCCCAAGCGUUAUCCGGAUUUACUGGGCGUAAAGGGUCCGUAGGCGGUUUGUUGCAUCUCCUGUUAAAUCAUCUGGCUCAACCAGGUGGCUGCGGGAGAUAUGGGCAAACUAGAGACCGGAAGAGGCAAGCGGAAUUGCUGGUGUAGGGGUUAAAUCCGUUAAUAUCAGCAGGAACACCAAAUGCGAAAGCAGCUUGCUUGAACGGUUCUGACGCUAAGGGACGAAAGCGUGGGUAGCGAAUGGGAUUAGAUACCCCGGUAGUC